CGGAAAUAGGAGUAUGACCGGUCAACGAUGGCGGCCGUAUUUCUAGCCCCUGUAUCUCAAAUUGAACCCAAAAAAAAAAUUGCCCCUGAUCUAUUCAUCUAUAAUUCCGAUCGGGCAUUAUGACAAAGUAGACGUGUAGGCCGCUAGAGUGUACAUCGACAUUUUCCGCAUGUACACUCAACCCUGUACUUUCUGGGUGGGCUAAGCCCCGAAUGUAUUGUGGUCCUAGCGACGCCUCUGGGUGAGACUAUGGGAAAGAUGUGGCUUGACAGCAGAGCCAGAGGGACAAUUCACCACUCAUUCCAGCCCUGCAGAAGAAAUUGGACAAGCAUCUAACUCCCAGACCUCCCAGUGCUGCCAGUCAGUUCUCAUCCAGGGCCCUGUCUGAGGGUCCCGGAAUUGGAGCGGAUCGGGAGCCUGUGGUGGCUGCUAGGAGGAUUCAGGAGAAAAAGGAACUGCAUAUAGUAAAUGUGGAUAAAGUGGAGACUUACCUUGAGACAUCUGAGUCGGAGCCCCAACAGGGACUCCUGGUUGCUGCUGCCCCGGGUUUCCCGAUGACGCUUCCUCCGGUUCCAUCUUCUCCUCUUGGAUCACAUCAGGAGAAGGUAGGGGGGUUGGUUCAGGCAGAUGUUGAUUUGGAUACCCUUUCUUCCACUACAAUUAUUAUUCUACCAGGUAAGGAGCCUAGAUCUGUUUGUCAUGAACCAAUUAGACAUCCAAAUUCCACCAAUAAACUUUAUGACUGGGUACUUACCAUUAGAAAACCCAUUGUUAUAAUGGGAGAAUUGAAUAUUUCAAGGAAACCUCAGUUUGCUGAUCUCAGAGUACAGGCAGAUAGCUUCCCGGGGGCUACUUUCCACCAUCUGAAAGGAGUAAUUGAAACCUUACAAGAACAUCCAGAGGUGGAAAAGGUGGUGCUUUCAGGGGGUUUGAAUAAUUGUCUUUCUAAGCAGUUACCAUUGACUGCUUGGAAACAAUUACAACAGCUCUUAAAGAUGGCGGAAAAUUUCCUAAUGCCUUGCUUUAUGUACCAAUUAUCAAUUAUUCAGAUAGAUUGGAGAAACAGCAACAACUAUUGUUGGAACAACUAAAUCAAAAGAUAUUGGAGAGAUGCAACUCCUUGCCUGAGAUCAGCAAACUGAGGUUCCAUACACUCCCAAGAGAUCCGGUUCAUUGGACACCUGAAACAGGGAAUCUUAUAUUAAACUCAUGGCUUG
Long non-coding RNA from Esox lucius (northern pike), 1217 nucleotides. The record is from Ensembl. NCBI's taxonomy places the organism in Eukaryota, Metazoa, Chordata, Actinopteri, Esociformes, Esocidae.